CAUUUAUUAGAACAAAACCAAUUGGCUUCGGCCAUCCAUUGGUGAAUCUGAAUAACUACGCUGAUCGCAUGGUCUCGUACCGGCGACAUAUCCUUCAAGUGUCUGCCUUAUCAACUUUCGAUGGUAGUUUACAUGACUACCAUGGUUGUAACGGGUAACGGAGAAUAAGGGUUCGACUCCGGAGAGGGAGCCUGAGAAACGGCUACCACAUCCAAGGAAGGCAGCAGGCGCGCAAAUUACCCACUCUCAGAACGAGGAGGUAGUGACGAAAAAUAACGAGACAGUUCUCUAUGAGGUCUGUCAUCGGAAUGGGUACAAUCUAAAUCCUUUAACGAGGAUCUAUUGGAGGGCAAGUCUGGUGCCAGCAGCCGCGGUAAUUCCAGCUCCAAUAGCGUAUAUUAAAGUUGUUGCGGUUAAAAAGCUCGUAGUUGGAUCUGCGGUCACAGAUGCCGGUCUUCUUCUCGAAGUACUGGCCAUCUUGACCUACCUCACUGGUUUUCUCUUGGUGCUCUUUACUGAGUGCCCUGAGUGACUAGUACGUUUACUUUGAAAAAAUUAGAGUGCUUAACGCAGGCU
This 576-nucleotide ribosomal RNA is filed under the name uncultured eukaryote. RNAcentral describes it as "SSU rRNA". It matches the Rfam family "Eukaryotic small subunit ribosomal RNA", at positions 203 to 786 of the family's 1831-position model. The record is from RNAcentral.